This 689-nucleotide ribosomal RNA is filed under the name Lactobacillus crispatus. Its description in RNAcentral is "bacterial SSU rRNA". It matches the Rfam family "Bacterial small subunit ribosomal RNA", at positions 59 to 715 of the family's 1533-position model. The record is from RNAcentral. Lineage: Bacteria; Bacillati; Bacillota; Bacilli; Lactobacillales; Lactobacillaceae.
CAGUCGAGCGAGCGGAACUAACAGAUUUACUUCGGUAAUGACGUUAGGAAAGCGAGCGGCGGAUGGGUGAGUAACACGUGGGGAACCUGCCCCAUAGUCUGGGAUACCACUUGGAAACAGGUGCUAAUACCGGAUAAGAAAGCAGAUCGCAUGAUCAGCUUUUAAAAGGCGGCGUAAGCUGUCGCUAUGGGAUGGCCCCGCGGUGCAUUAGCUAGUUGGUAAGGUAAAGGCUUACCAAGGCGAUGAUGCAUAGCCGAGUUGAGAGACUGAUCGGCCACAUUGGGACUGAGACACGGCCCAAACUCCUACGGGAGGCAGCAGUAGGGAAUCUUCCACAAUGGACGCAAGUCUGAUGGAGCAACGCCGCGUGAGUGAAGAAGGUUUUCGGAUCGUAAAGCUCUGUUGUUGGUGAAGAAGGAUAGAGGUAGUAACUGGCCUUUAUUUGACGGUAAUCAACCAGAAAGUCACGGCUAACUACGUGCCAGCAGCCGCGGUAAUACGUAGGUGGCAAGCGUUGUCCGGAUUUAUUGGGCGUAAAGCGAGCGCAGGCGGAAGAAUAAGUCUGAUGUGAAAGCCCUCGGCUUAACCGAGGAACUGCAUCGGAAACUGUUUUUCUUGAGUGCAGAAGAGGAGAGUGGAACUCCAUGUGUAGCGGUGGAAUGCGUAGAUAUAUGGAAGAACACCAGUGG